UGCUGAGCUGCCUGCAGGCUGUGCCGU
Molecule: non-coding RNA, 27 nt
Filed under: Mus musculus (house mouse)
Lineage: Eukaryota; Metazoa; Chordata; Mammalia; Rodentia; Muridae
Source: RNAcentral